CGAUUAGCNCGGUACUCGCCGAAUGCUCUAGAUUAGAGUUUGAUCAUGGCUCAGAUUGAACGCUGGCGGCAAGCUUAACACAUGCAAGUCGAGCGGGGAAGGUUGCUUCGGUAACUGACCUAGCGGCGGACGGGUGAGUAAUGCUUAGGAAUCUGCCAUUUAGUGGGGGACAACAUUCCGAAAGGAAUGCUAAUACCGCAUACGUCCUACGGGAGAAAGCAGGGGGAUCUUCGGACCUUGCGCUAAAUGAUGAGCCUAAGUCGGAUUAGCUAGUUGGUGGGGUAAAGGCCUACCAAGGCGACGAUCUGUAGCGGGUCUGAGAGGAUGAUCCGCACACUGGGACUGAGACACGGCCCAGACUCCUACGGGAGGCAGCAGUGGGGAAUAUUGGACAAUGGGCGGAAGCCUGAUCCAGCCAUGCCGCGUGUGUGAAGAAGGCCUUAUGGUUGUAAAGCACUUUAAGCGAAGAGGAGGCUACCAGUAUUUAAAUACUACUUGGAUAGUGGACGUUACUCGCAGAAUAAGCACCGGCUAACUCUGUGCCAGCAGCCGCCGGGUAAUAACACGAGGGUUGGCG
Molecule: ribosomal RNA, 577 nt
Filed under: uncultured bacterium
Lineage: Bacteria
Description: bacterial SSU rRNA
Rfam family: Bacterial small subunit ribosomal RNA
Source: RNAcentral